GAUGAAGAACGUAGCGAAAUGCGAUAAGUAAUGUGAAUUGCAGAAUUCAGUGAAUCAUCGAAUCUUUGAACGCUCCUUGCACCCUUUGGCAUUCCGAAGGGUAUGCUCGUUUGAGUGUCAUUGUACUCUCACACUUCCGAUCUUUGGAUUGGGAGCGGUGGACUUGGGUGUUGCUGCUUACUGUGGCUCACCUCAAAUCGAUUCGUGCACCUCUUGGUUGGACAUAGUACGGCGUGAUAAGUGUCUUCGCCGGCACCUCAGUAGAGGGAGGCUGAUCGGGAGCUCUGCUUCAAACCGUCCUCGGACAACAACUGACAACUUGACCUCAAAUCGAGUAGGACUACCCGUUGAACUUAAGCAUAUCAAUAAGCGGAGGA
Molecule: unclassified non-coding RNA, 377 nt
Filed under: soil metagenome
Description: partial contains 5.8S ribosomal RNA, internal transcribed spacer 2, and large subunit ribosomal RNA
Rfam family: 5.8S ribosomal RNA (bases 1-120)
Source: RNAcentral